UGGGUUGUGGCUCAGAGGAAAGAGUGCUCACUUAGCAUGUGUGAGGCACUGGGUUUGAUCCUCAGCACCACAG
Molecule: non-coding RNA, 73 nt
Organism: Ictidomys tridecemlineatus (thirteen-lined ground squirrel)
Lineage: Eukaryota; Metazoa; Chordata; Mammalia; Rodentia; Sciuridae
Source: Rfam